Molecule: long non-coding RNA, 1403 nt
Organism: Lathyrus oleraceus (garden pea)
Lineage: Eukaryota; Viridiplantae; Streptophyta; Magnoliopsida; Fabales; Fabaceae
Exons: 2
Source: RefSeq, a predicted model, not a curated record
CAGAAAUUAAUACAUUUUAAUGGCAUCUAACACACAUGAUAGAGUUAACCAUUCAGACCUAACAAAUUUAGAAAACCCAAUUCCUUCCCUAUACAAUCCCUCUUUCCCCUUUCGUUAUUCCCUCUGCCACGCCAAAGGUCUCUCCAACGACGGAGCCACCACAAUUCCUCAACCAAACACCAUGACCUUAUUCUAUUUUAUGCCCUGAAUCAUAUUACCGCCAUGAAAGAACCCGAAGAUUCAUGAAUUAAGUUAAUUGAAUGCUAACAACCAUGAACCCUAAUCUUCCAAAUAAAUUAAAUGGAAAAUAAGCCAGGAUUCAUCUUCAAACCAUGGGGAUUUUGAUGCAUAUGAAGCCUUAUACACAAUGCCAACAAGAUUCAUGGUAAAGAGAGGAAAAAAAUAGCCUACCUCCAAAACGGAGAUGUGUUCCGUCAAGCGUUGAUCGGAGAAGACGAAGUGCGAAGGAAAAUCACUUGAAACGUAGGAUUCUAAGGAAAAAUAAAUCUGAUGAUAACAAUAUCUGACAACUAGCGAAGUCCAGAAUUGCUAAUCCAGCGCUGAAGAGAUCAAAUCUGACUAGAACAAGAACUCAUCUGAAUAAAUCACCUAUAUAAUCAGUCAUUCAAUCUGACAUCGGAAGACCUUGAAGAUGUGUACAUCCAAAGACUCUAAAAAAUUGUACACUUGAAAAUUCUAAAGACCUGCACACUCGAAGGCUCUAAAAACUUUAUAUCUGACGACCGUCUAUCUGAAGAUCAGUCAAAGCUAACAUUGAAUAUUAGUUAUCAAACAACUAUCUGAAGAAUACAAGAUCUGCUUAAAGAUUCUGAACUCCGCUCACUCUGAUCCAUGCCUAUCAGAUCAUCUGACUCAGCAAAAUCAUAAACUUAAUCCAGAAGUAUUCUAAGUAUGGUAUGAUUAUAUAUAAGGAUAGUAUUGACUACACUCCAAAACUGCUAUGGAAAGGACAAGAAAACUAAUAUCAUUAAGUACCAUUAUUGGCAGGUAUCAUCAUCAAUAUUCUCUCCAAUGGUAUCAUCUCUAACCAUUAUAUAAAGGCCUCACUAUCAUCAUACAAACGACGAAGCAAUUACACAAGAAUUCUAAAAUACACCUUGAACAAUAUAUCAAACACUUGUUAUUGUAAAAUUCAGUAGUCACACAAGAUUUGUUGCUCAUAGUGUGAUCAUUGAUCAUUCGCUCUUAAUUGUUGUCUUACUGCUUGUCUAGAAGUACUAAAUAUACACUUGUAAUUCUCUAUAGUUGUUGUGAUUCCUCAAGUGACUUGUGAAGUUUGUAGACAUGAGAGAGCUAAGAGUUCACUAAGGUCUUAGAUGAUUGUUGUAAUUUCAAUAUUAUUGGAUUAAGUCCUUAUUGAAGGCGAAAUCACUUUGGUCGGA